GUUUAUAUAGCUUAAAUUAAAGCGCAGCACUGAAGAUACUAAGACAGAUUUUAACACAUCUUAUAAACA
Molecule: transfer RNA, 69 nt
Filed under: Lyciasalamandra atifi
Lineage: Eukaryota; Metazoa; Chordata; Amphibia; Caudata; Salamandridae
Description: tRNA-Phe
Rfam family: tRNA
About the family: Transfer RNA (tRNA) molecules are approximately 80 nucleotides in length. Their secondary structure includes four short double-helical elements and three loops (D, anti-codon, and T loops).
Source: RNAcentral